Molecule: long non-coding RNA, 206 nt
Filed under: Elaeis guineensis (African oil palm)
Lineage: Eukaryota; Viridiplantae; Streptophyta; Magnoliopsida; Arecales; Arecaceae
Description: long non-coding RNA (EGUI_LNC024240)
Source: RNAcentral
CCUCUUGAGACUAAAUUUUGAUGAAGAUCAAGGGCUAAGAAUGCCUUCAUCGGCCCCAAUCGAUGAAGUCUUCAUCAAUAAAGAGGAAUAGAAAAAAGUAUUAUUGCUUCUUGAUGCGUAGUCGUUGAUAGCACCAAAAAUAACUCUAUUCACUAUGUAGGUAGGAUGAGUCGAGAUCGUAUCCUCAGGGACCUUAGACUAAGCUG